UACGUAGGUGACCAGCGUUGUCCGGAUUUACUGGGCGUAAAGAGCGCGCAGGCGGUCGUUCAAGUCGAGUGUGAAAGCCCCCGGCUCAACUGGGGAGGGUCAUUCGAUACUGAUCGACUCGAAGGCAGGAGAGGGAAGCGGAAUUCCCAGUGUAGCGGUGAAAUGCGUAGAUACUGGGAGGAACACCAGUGGCGAAGGCGGCUACCUGGACCGGUUCUGACGCUGAGGCGCGAAAGCGUGGGUAGCAAACGGG
This 253-nucleotide ribosomal RNA is filed under the name uncultured bacterium. Its description in RNAcentral is "partial 16S ribosomal RNA". It matches the Rfam family "Bacterial small subunit ribosomal RNA", at positions 524 to 776 of the family's 1533-position model. The record is from RNAcentral.